Molecule: long non-coding RNA, 8108 nt
Organism: Passer domesticus (house sparrow)
Lineage: Eukaryota; Metazoa; Chordata; Aves; Passeriformes; Passeridae
Exons: 2
Source: RefSeq, a predicted model, not a curated record
UGGCCCCCGGCCGCCCCACACAGGCCACUGCCUUGCGCACACAAAUUUGUCUCUGCCUCGAGCCAAAAAAAACUAAGCCGACACUCUUCUAAAGAGACGUGCAUUAUUUUAGAGCAGUCAAGUUAUGACUGGUCUGAUUUCCAUAAUGCACGCUCUGCAAACAUCUGCCUGUUAUUUAAGGCUCGGCUCCACUGGGACAGAACAGGGCAGACCUCUGCGGCGGGAUGUCCUUGCUGCCAGAGACAUCCCGGGGCAGAAGUGUGCACAGCAGCUCAGGCUGGGCACUCCUGGCUCCUGCAGCCACAUCCAGCUUCACGCUCCUGAGCCUUUCCCCACGCACCCACCGAUGCUCCCGCUCCCAAGGAAGGAGGGCUCCGUCCCCCUCUCUGCCAGAAGUGCCUGCUCGUGCCAGUGAGCCGGUGUCACCCUUCAGAGGACCCAGCCACGUGUCUCUCAUCGUGGGCACCCAGCAAAUCACCUGGCACCUUCAGGCUGUCUGCCGUUUUUGUAGGCCGACUCUUGAAACCGGAGUGUCCCAAUUAGAUGAAGUUAAAUGCUGCCCUGAACAACAAGCUGGCAAGAAAGUUAUCCCAGCGUUAUUAGACUGCUCCCUCCCUACGAAGAGACCGCAAAUUAGUGUUUACUUCAGAGGCCAAGUAGGCCAGCUUUGAGAAACCAUGCCUGCCCCGCCAUCCCACAGGUUUCCCAGGGGCUCCCGGUUCCUCAGCACACACCUCCACGCCGUGCCCUUGCUCUGCAUUUAGCCCGGGCUCCAUCCUGGCCUGACACAGCAUUUAGCUACUGGAUUUAUCCCCUGCGUGCUGUACUGGGAGAGCAGAAACAACCGAGUCUCUGUACUGCAGCCAGCUGACACAGGCUAAGUCAAUUAGCUGCUAUGGCUGCGAUGCUCAGCUAGGCCAGAUCAAAAGACAAAGAAAGAAAAGCCUCACACUGAGAGGAACCAGGUCCAGUCAACACAUUUGUCUUCGAUACUUCAGUCAAAAUAUCUGAAAUGGGAAAAGAGAGAUGGCUGAUGCUUCCCAAAGCUACUAGGUACAAGCUUGAUUUCCUAGGGCAGGAGAGGCAGAGGGGCCAGGCAGAGCAUUGCAGUUCCCAUUCACCUCUGCUCCAACCUUUGCUUCCAUUCAACAAAUCCUUCAAAUAAACACACAAAAAAGCAGAAUAUAUUCCGUAAGUUCAAGCUAAGGCACUUUCCAUUUCAGAGUGGGCUGCUUACACCCUGUAAGUCUCCUAGUUCAUCCUGACUCAGCCAACACUCUUUACAGCUUGUGCAGAGCAUUCUUCAGGAAGGACACAAAAGAUCACAAUGCACCACAGGCCUCACAUAUCCUCCUCCUUUGGGCAGCAUUAUUAUUUUGCAGAUCUCUGCUCUGUAUCAGCUAUCCCAAGGACUACUGGUCUUCUCACUUUGGCUUUUGCAAAACUACACCAGUCAGCAGGCAUUAUAUCAGAUACCAAGCACUGUGAGUAUCAAGCCCAUUUUUACCUCCAAAACCAUAUAUUUUUUCUUUUGAGAGGCUGACAGUUACUGAUGACAAGGCUUCACCUACAGGUGAACUGAAGGAAAUCCAAACUGGUAAAGGACAAAAGCAGGUCCACAACAUUGAGCUGUAGCUGGGCAGCCUUCAGCUUCAGUUCAGCUCCUUGUGCAGCAGCUGCUGUUGUAUCAUGCCACACUGCUCCUCACUUCAAAGAAGACAACCGUAAGGAGAACUAUUAAAGCAAUUAAAAAAAUAUUAUCUUUAGGAUGUAAUCUACACAGAGAUGAAUGGGAAUAAUUAUCUAGCUGCAGAUUUUUAUGUGUUUUUUUUUAAGGCAAUAGCUGGCUGAACAUUCAUUCUAAGUAGUUACCUACAGUAACUUCCACCUUAUUGAAACACGAGUCUAGAGAUACCAUUUCAUUUCACAGUGUGGGCCACGUAUUCCAUACCAUAUUUCACAGUAACAUCUAUGCUCACUAACCCUCUUUCCACUCAGUUCACAAUCCCAUAAACACCUCUGUAGCAGCUCAUGCAACUGUUCACGUAGAAAAGGGUGCCUUCUGUUUUUCUCAAAGCAGCAAAGGCAGCAGUUCAACAGCCUGAAGUGAGAAGAUCCAGCUCCAGUUUACCAGGCAGCUGUCUGAAAUCGCCCCCUCAAAUUCUCACUGAAGAGCAAGACCUAACAUCAAUAGCCUCGCCUGAGCAUUCUUUAAUCUGCAUACCUUGAAUCCUUUAUUCUUCCUCUUCUGCUCUGUUGUCCCACCUCUGAAAUGGAUAUUAUGCCACACUGUAGACAGGGAAACAGGCCCUGAGACACCAGCUACUGAGCUGAAGUCGUGCAUCAACAAGACUUCCCAAAAUCCUUUGACUAUCCAUUCAUUCCAGGCAUUUUUGAAGGCAAUGUACAACCUCAGUCUAUUAUUCACUUUUGGUUGGAUAGAUAUGUUUUCUGUAGCUAUUACUUGAAGUAUUGCCAUCUCCUGUCUGCCUCCUAUGUGCCCAUGGCCAGGCACCAGCACCAGCUGUCCUGAUCCAGGGAUGCCAAGAGACACUUUGAGCUCCUCCUGAUAGUACACAAAUAUGUGCUCACCCCUAUUAUAAACACCCCAAAAGAUGCAACAAAAACAGAAAAAGGUCAAAGCCAACAGACCUCUUUUCAAAAAAAGGCUUUUUUUGGCUUGAUUAGACCCCUGAGAUGUCAGCCCUGAAGAGACAAACAGAGGGAUUUCGGUUGCAUAUCACAACCCUGAGGUGCAAUGCUUUCCUCUUUAUAGGUUAAGGCUUAAACCAGACACUUGAUUCAAUAAAGGCAGUUAACUGACAUAGAAAUUUUCAUGAAAGAGCUAUGAAAAACUGCUAAAGAACUCCAAUCAAUUAAAAAAACACCUAUUUUAGAAAUUCCUUUGUAAUUUAAAUUUAUUGGGAGGCGGGGUAGGGAGGGGAGAAAUAACCCCAGAAGAAAACAGUUUUACUUUUUUUUUUAGAUUAUACAUCUUUCACCAAAUACUUAAAAAGAAAUCUCAGCUCAUAUUUGUAAUAACAAGAGAUUAUCAGAGUCCUUGAUUUACUGUUGAAGUCUGCAGUAAAGUUUCAUACCUUGAGUGAGGUGCAGCCUAAUCCCUGCAUGUGAUUACAUUUAGGAGUGAGAGGGAGGUAUGCGGGGGGUAGGGAGAAGCAAUUUUUAUUGAAGACAACGCUUCAGGCAGCCCUGAAGCAGAGUGGAUCCAGUUUGAAAAGAAUUGGCAACCCUAAAACUUUUUGAUAAGAUAAAAAUUCAUUGAUGUUGGCUCACACUAGGCCCACUUCAACUCUGCACUUGUCCUCUGUGUUUCCUUGGCAUAUCUGUUCCUUUCCUCUAUCUGCUUUAGCAUAACUUUAUUUUUCUCUUUUAUCUUUAGCUAACUGCACCCAGGGACUGGAGGGAUUGAUUUUUUGUUUUGACUUAUUGUUUGAAGAUCUGUAACUCAAAGCAGCUUCUUGCGCCUCUGAUGUCUAAGCCCGAGCAGUAUAAAAGGUAAAGCUCAUCCUGUGUACCAAAGUGAGCAGGGAUACCAUUUUAUAAUCAGUCAUCUGUGUUUUAUUUUGCCUUUUGGGGAGGAAAACUAUUUUGAGACUUUAUAAGCAAUAAUACUUUAAAUAAAUAUUCUCAUGGCAGAUACUGCACAUGCCAGUUCCCUUUUUAAAGAGAGACAGCUAGUGCUUACCACUCAGGGGAAGAAAAAAAAAGUUCUUAAUUAAAGGAGGCCAUUAUACAUCAGAAGAUAUUUUGAGCAUCACGUCACACUACCAACAGCCUAUUGCAGCCAAAAUGUUACCAUGCAAAUGCAGAAAUGCUCUCGCUCAGAGAUGCGCUGCCAUGAGGCCAGCGAAAAUCCCCGCUGGGAGGGGAAGGCAGGAGACAGAGACGCGCUCCUCAGAGCUGCUGCUGAACAGCCAUCGCUCACUGCCGUGUUAAUACCACCCCGUCCCGAGACACCGAGGGAUGGAGAUGGAUUUCGCUUGCUUCCUCUGCCUUCUGAGGGCCAGACUCUGGAGAUUUCUCCUUUUCCCAGGCAAUUCUUCCCUACCCCCUACCCCCGGACAAAAAUGCCUCUGGGCUGUUUUAAACAAGCAGCUCCUCAGGACGUGGUACAGGGGUUUCUCACUGCACAUGCACAUUUCUGUAUCGUGGAAAGCCGAUAGUCACGGCACACACGGACUUUGUUUACGAUCGCCAGUCUCUGCUAUUCCCUGAAGUUGCCCAGCUUGCUGAAAUAUGGUUACAUAUGCAAACAUUAUCUCCCAAUUGUAACCUCAUUUUCUGCUCUGCUGGACAGCGUGACCAGCAUUUGUCAUCUUGCCGCCCCCGCCCGCCACAUCAUUCAUGUGUCUAUAAUUGUCAUCAAGAUGUGGCAUGUCAGCAGGACUCCCGCGUCCGCUGCUCCCCAUCUCCACGCAGUCACUCAGUCAUUAAAACCCCGACUCAAAGACAACAGCAAAGGGAUCUGGCCUCCCUCCCUAUGGACACAGAGCUUAUGUCCCUGUCAUUUCAAGGCUGGGAAACUGUCUCAUUUUCACUUUGACUGUUCCUUAACACACUAACCAUACUGAAGCUGAAAUUAAAGUCAAGCAUAUCAAGCUCUUUUCCAAGAUGUAAAAGCAUAUAAUUUUUUUUAGCAUCAAGACAGAAGUCUUUUCUGUUGUAAUCCAAGGUUUUGGAGUUUUUCCUCCCUCUACUCUCCUGCCAUCCCUAACAAAUUUACUGCUUCCUCUGCACAGCCUGCUUUUUAAAGUCCGGACUAAUUCUUUGUGGCUCUGGUGUUCAUUCUGAUAAGCAGAGGGAUGCUCGUAAAGCAACACAGAGGAAAGAGUGGAAAGAUACAGGGAGCUGAAGCCAUCACUGUAAACAGAGGGAUCUGCUGCCAUUAUCUGCAGGACAGCUAAAUCAACUUCUGCCUAUCCCACAAGGAGUCUCAAGUAUCUGGAAACAAAUGACAGCCUCCAAAAACUAAGCAACACGCAUAGCAUUGCAAAGGUCUCCAAAACACUCGCCACUAUGAAGACACAGCAGAAAAAGAACUUUUACAUGAUGCUGCAACCCUACCUUUCAACAUCAAACCAUUACUAUGAUGAAAAAGUAUGUUUUACUGUAAUUGCUGCUAAUUUUUCCCUUCCGGGGACUUUUGUGUUCGUUUACAGAGGAUUCACUUGCUACUUGAUACUUUUUCUCGAAAGCUUGCUCCUACUUUGUAGCUAUUCAGUGAAAUUCAAGAGACACUAUUUAGCCCAAAAGAGGCACCUGGAGCCUAUCUGCCAGGAUUUCACCCCGUGCAGCCCACUCCAUAACCUGCACAGGCAGCAUUCCGUGCCCAAGCAGAGGCACAGCUUCUCCUCAUGCUGGAUUCUCUGGUAACCACAUUAGAGAGAGCCAGCGACCCUGCCAACCAACCUCAGCCACUCCUGACAUCAGGAACUGAAAUCCUUUUGAGGUGACUACCUGCAGGACCACAACAAACUGAGUUUUAAGUGUGGCUGUGGUGUGGGGACCGUGCAGCCACCAGCUGUGGCCACAGUGUAUCAGCUGUAGCUACAGAGGUGUGAAGAAACAAAAGAAAAGGCCACAGAUGACCUGGCUAACCCUGGCAGGGCAGCAGCACCGGGGCACACUGCUUAGGAAGCUGAGAGCUGUGCUCCAGUGAACACAGCCUGGCUGCACUGUAGUGUGGUAAAAUAGAAGAUAUUUCAGGAAGCUCAGGGAAAAGUUUAAAGCUUCCAGCUGCAAAUGAGCCAGCACCUCCUUGUAAACCAUUCUUCCCACCAGAGGCUGCUGAGGCACAGGGCAAGGACAUCACUGGCAGGUGCCCACCACAGCUGGAAGAGGCAGACAGAUGCCAUUGCUGCCAAGAUGCCAUCCCAAAAAGCUGCUCUCAGGUCUUCCCAUCCCUACAGUAAACCCCAAAAAUCCCACCACACCAGUGCCAGGGCAGCUGACGGAGAAAGCCUGGCUGGUCAUUCCCAGCACAUUGUGUGCAGGAGCUGGGAAUCAAUGGCAGGUUCCCAGGAGAGGGAGUGCACCCCGCUCGUUAUCUAAUUGUGUUUGCACUGAACUUCUGACAGGGAGGGAGACAAAAGUGGGGGGUGAAAAUAAUGAUACUGAGGGUAAAUAGCCUGCUCCCCUGCAGGGAAGAGAGCAAACAGAAAGCCAAGUGGGAAGAUAUGGGUGCUAUUGUGUGGCAGGGAGGGAAAAUGAGAAAACACAAAGUCUGUUUUUUGACAAAACCUUUUUUGGGCUAAUUCUCUUAGGCCCCUUCUUGCUUUUAUUUAGAAACUUCAGUAGAUUGUUUGCUCCUUCAUUCAAAGGCUGGGUAUGAAACACAGGCACAGCCAGCAUUGACACAAACUUUCUUCCUAUCUGCACUGGCUUCAAUCUUCUCAUUUUCCCUCCCUCCACCACACACAUCUCGGUUUUUACUUUCUCAGACUUCUCAUUUGCUUUCAUUAAAAAAACCUAAAACCAACGUAAGAAACACAUGUUUAGAAGUGAGCUGUCUUUCAGGUGAAUUCCCAAAGUGAACUCAGGAAAUACGGAUUUUAUUCCCACCUCUGCCAUCACCUUCCUCUAAGGCUCCGAACAAAUGUUGCUUCUUCGGGGCCUCAUUUGCAGAAGUCUCCUCCCAGACUGUGCCUUUGCUUUUGGGAGUGGAGUGGGGGGAAGCAGAGGACAUCCACACACACAAACACACACAUAACCCCAGUGCCAGGGACACUUCCCAGGAAUCUGCCCGCGGUCACUGAUGCACCGCAAUCUCCACGGGUCACGUCCUCACGCUACACUCUAGGCUGGGCAAUUAUACACAGAAUUUACCUAUUUCAUGCUUAAUUGCACAGGCACAAACUUUUCCUCCAGCCCCAAAAUAGCUAUAACUUACCAGCGGCACUUCUGUUACCACAGGCACCUCUGCCAGUCCUGGCUUAACCUCCUAGGAUCAAAUCUGAGCCACUGGAUUAACCAGCCAACCCCUCCUGGGAGAACCCAGCAAAGGAGAGAGGAAGCACAGGUAACACAAGAAAGGCCAACAUCAGCUAUGGGCUCCUGGGCUGUGACAUACUACCUCCAGAAGAAAAAUGAACAUCCACCUGUAGGCUCUUCUGCUGACUGAACCUGAAAAAAUAAUUUGUCCACUAGAGGCUGGCCAGAGAGAUUCAUUUAAUGAAGGAGGGCAUUUUUGUGCAGUAAGCACUACUGUGUAACUAUCUGACUGUAUUUACUCAGAGUCAUAGAAGACAAGCUUCACAAACCCACCACUGAGAUCUCCUUCUCCUAGGAAGUCUGCCUGUGCCCCAAACACAGGGGUUUCUGAACUGGCUUUGAUUCAACCACGUUUCCCGACUGAACAUUUAUUGUUCUGCCCCAUUAGCCUGCAUUAUUCUCACUUACACACAUAUCCUUGGAAAGAAAAAGCAAUAAAAGGAAGGAUUUAAAGUGUCAAAGAAAGAAGGAAAGCUCCCUACACAAGUUGUUUUGGAAGCACCUUUGAACUAAAAAAUGUUCCAAGACAGUGUUUUGACCAGCUCUUCUACAGUCUCUUAAUAUUUCCUUAUUACAAAGUAUGAAGUCAUCCUCUUACAGGUCACUCUGAUAAGAUGAUUAUAUUUGCCAGUUAUAAAAAAAAGUGUUUGCAAUAUUGCUGUCAAACUGUCUGGGGAGUCACCUAAUAAAUUAGCAUUUUCUUGUGGUUCUCCUAUUCCAAUUCUUCCUUCUGAAGAUUUACAUCUAAAACAGGAUUGCUGCACUAUUAUCUUAGAAAUACCCUCAAAAUAACUGAGAUAGGAAAAAAAAAAGUCUCAACAAAACCUGAAAAAUCCACACACUUAAGAGCUAAGCUUUUUAAAGUUUCAUUUCUUUUCUUUUGCCUUUAAAUCCAGCACAGCUUCCUUUUCUUCCUAUGGCAGGAGUAUUUAAGACACGAAAUAAAGCGCAAGAGAGAAGGGUUGGAGUAACAAUUUUUUCAAAUCCAACACGUUCAUUUGAAACUUAUUUUUUCAAGCUGAAUUUUCAGUUGUGUGCAGGAGGUAAUCGGGCAGUAAAAACCAGACCAAAAUAGAGCCCAGCAUGCUACUGUCAGA